This 253-nucleotide ribosomal RNA is filed under the name uncultured bacterium. RNAcentral's name for it is "partial 16S ribosomal RNA". It matches the Rfam family "Bacterial small subunit ribosomal RNA", at positions 524 to 776 of the family's 1533-position model. The record is from RNAcentral.
UACGUAGGGGGCUAGCGUUGUCCGGAAUCAUUGGGCGUAAAGAGCGCGUAGGCGGCCCGGUAAGUCCGCUGUAAAAGUCCAGGGCUCAACCCUGGAAAGCCGGUGGAUACUGUCGGGCUAGAGUGCGGAAGAGGCGAGUGGAAUUCCUGGUGUAGCGGUGAAAUGCGCAGAUAUCAGGAGGAACACCAAUUGCGAAGGCAGCUCGCUGGGACGUUACUGACGCUGAGACGCGAAAGCGUGGGGAGCAAACAGG